RNAcentral lists this transfer RNA (64 nucleotides) under Tetrodontophora bielanensis (giant springtail). Its description in RNAcentral is "tRNA-Ile". Lineage: Eukaryota; Metazoa; Arthropoda; Collembola; Poduromorpha; Onychiuridae. The record is from RNAcentral.
AGAUUAGUGCCUGAUAAAAAGGAGUAUCCUGAUAGGGUAAAUUAUGCACACUAUGCCUUGUCUU